GGCAACAACACGAGCAAUAUACCUUAGCUGCGUCUAAUGCGAAGAAGAAGACGCGAAAGGUGAAACGAAGAAGAAGAAUUGACUUAUAAAUCCGUGGAAACAGCGCUAGCAUCGUCCAUUCGGUUGUUGUUUGUCUGCUAUCGGUACGGACGAUGGUCAAUCACCACUACUACACUGCACUGGGCUUGGGUCAAAGGUCUUUAAGAAGACCAUCUGCUCAGACUGGAAUUGAAUUGGGUACUGGACCGCUCACAGGCAUCGUGCUCUUUAAAGAUAUGUUGUAGAGUAAUUUUUUGUUAGUAAUAUUUACUGUAUAUAUUCUAUGCUCAAAUAAAACUAUACAGGCCAACUUUUUGCUUCAAUUUUCUGAAAAAUAUACUGGAUUAUGAGAUGUACACGACAGAUGGUUUACUAAUUCAUGAGCCACUCUGACCUUUAAUGAUAUGAGGCAUCAUUUCUAAAUGUGCUGACCGACUACUGAAAUAUGCCAACUUUUGAUCAAGCAUAAAUCAAAUGACAAAAGCUGAUAUCAUUAACAAAAGGCACAUUUCACAUUGAACUUUCAGGUUUUGCCAUGUGAUAUAAGAAACACUAUAGCCUAAACAUUAGUGUACAGGGUAUUGAUACAGCACUUAAGGUACUGAUACCAAAACAUUUAAG
Monopterus albus (swamp eel) is the source of this 660-nucleotide long non-coding RNA. RefSeq lists it as uncharacterized. The record is from RefSeq and is a predicted model, not a curated record. Lineage: Eukaryota; Metazoa; Chordata; Actinopteri; Synbranchiformes; Synbranchidae. The transcript has 4 exons.